CGGACGGGUGAGUAACGCGUAAAGAACUUGCCCUCUAGACUGGGAUAACAAGAGGGAAACUUCUGAUAAUACUGGAUAAGUUAGUAUAUCGCAUGAUAUGCAAAUGAAAGCUACGGCACUAAAGGAGAGCUUUGCGUCCUAUUAGCUAGUUGGUAAGGUAAGAGCUUACCAAGGCGAUGAUAGGUAGCCGGCCUGAGAGGGUGGACGGCCACAAGGGGACUGAGAUACGGCCCUUACUCCUACGGGAGGCAGCAGAG
RNAcentral lists this ribosomal RNA (257 nucleotides) under uncultured Leptotrichia sp. RNAcentral describes it as "partial 16S ribosomal RNA". It matches the Rfam family "Bacterial small subunit ribosomal RNA", at positions 99 to 354 of the family's 1533-position model. Lineage: Bacteria; Fusobacteriati; Fusobacteriota; Fusobacteriia; Fusobacteriales; Leptotrichiaceae. The record is from RNAcentral.